RNAcentral lists this transfer RNA (74 nucleotides) under Blattella germanica (German cockroach). Its description in RNAcentral is "tRNA-Ile (AAT) (tRNA-Ile-AAT-22-1)". It matches the Rfam family "tRNA". Rfam says of the family: Transfer RNA (tRNA) molecules are approximately 80 nucleotides in length. Lineage: Eukaryota; Metazoa; Arthropoda; Insecta; Blattodea; Blattellidae. The record is from RNAcentral.
GGCCCGUUAGCUCAGUUGGUUAGAGUGUGGUGCUAAUAACGCCAAGGUCGUGGGUUCGAUCCCCUCACAAGCCA